RNAcentral lists this non-coding RNA (23 nucleotides) under Arabidopsis thaliana (thale cress). The record is from RNAcentral. Lineage: Eukaryota; Viridiplantae; Streptophyta; Magnoliopsida; Brassicales; Brassicaceae.
GCCUAGUUUGGAAUUUUGUGUCU